CCUGCAUAAAUCUUAAAUAACCUUUAGUAUAUGAUCCAUAGUUAACGAUCACCCAUCUCAUAGAUCUCAAAGCACUCUUAACUCCUUUAUUUAUCCGUCUGUACAAAUCUCAAAGCAUCCUUAAUAUAUGGCCCAUGGUUAAGGAUCAGUCAUCAUGCAGAUCUCAAAGCACUGAAUCUUUUUAUUCAUACACUUGCAUACAUCUCAGAGC
This 211-nucleotide long non-coding RNA is filed under the name Elaeis guineensis (African oil palm). RNAcentral's name for it is "long non-coding RNA (EGUI_LNC029940)". Lineage: Eukaryota; Viridiplantae; Streptophyta; Magnoliopsida; Arecales; Arecaceae. The record is from RNAcentral.